AGAGCGAACGUUGGCGGCGCGCCUAACACAUGCAAGUCGAACGCGAAAAGCCUUCGGGCUGAGUAGAGUGGCGCACGGGUGAGUAACACGUGAGUAAUCUGCCCAUUGGACCGGGAUAACAUGCCGAAAGGCGUGCUAAUACCGGAUAAGACCACGAACCCUGCGGGGAUUGUGAGAAAAGACGGGGAUUCGCAAGAACCUGUCACCAUAGGAUGAGCUCGCGGCCUAUCAGCUAGUUGGCGGGGUAAUGGCCCACCAAGGCUAAGACGGGUAGCUGGUCUGAGAGGAUGAUCAGCCACACUGGAACUGAGACACGGUCCAGACUCCUACGGGAGGCAGCAGUGGGGAAUUUUGCGCAAUGGACGAAAGUCUGACGCAGCGACGCCGCGUGUGCGAUGAAGGCCUUUGGUCGUAAAGCACUGUCGACCGGGACGAAAACGUCAAUAGACUAAUACUUUAAUGAGUCUGACGUACUAGGUAAAGGAAGCACCGGCUAACUCUA
RNAcentral lists this ribosomal RNA (502 nucleotides) under uncultured soil bacterium. RNAcentral's name for it is "bacterial SSU rRNA". It matches the Rfam family "Bacterial small subunit ribosomal RNA", at positions 26 to 505 of the family's 1533-position model. The record is from RNAcentral.